RNAcentral lists this ribosomal RNA (292 nucleotides) under uncultured bacterium. RNAcentral's name for it is "partial 16S ribosomal RNA". It matches the Rfam family "Bacterial small subunit ribosomal RNA", at positions 505 to 796 of the family's 1533-position model. The record is from RNAcentral.
GUGACAGCAGCCGCGGUAAUACGUAGGGUGCGAGCGUUAAUCGGAAUUACUGGGCGUAAAGCGUGCGCAGGCGGUUGUGCAAGACAGAUGUGAAAUCCCCGGGCUCAACCUGGGAACUGCAUUUGUGACUGCACGACUAGAGUACGGCAGAGGGGGGUAGAAUUCCACGUGUAGCAGUGAAAUGCGUAGAGAUGUGGAGGAAUACCGAUGGCGAAGGCAGCCCCCUGGGCCGAUACUGACGCUCAUGCACGAAAGCGUGGGGAGCAAACAGGAUUAGAAACCCUUGUAGUCC